AUGGUGUCCAUUUUGGCAUGGAGUGAUCAAAGCACAACAAAAGAACUUAUUGCCCCACCAUCUUUGUUUACUUGUUUUUCAUGUUUGAUGUUGAAAGCUCACGGCUGCAGCUUUGGUGAUCUCAGAUUCUCAGAAUUUUGCGGGAACUAUUGCCUGGAUCCUACUUUCAUCUUUGGUCUAUUGAUCUUGCCUCGGAACUACAUAAGUUUGCCAAGUGUUUCUUAUGUAUUACAUUAG
Non-coding RNA from Vicia faba (fava bean), 237 nucleotides. The record is from the annotation of a GenBank genome assembly. NCBI's taxonomy places the organism in Eukaryota, Viridiplantae, Streptophyta, Magnoliopsida, Fabales, Fabaceae.